RNAcentral lists this long non-coding RNA (1306 nucleotides) under Vigna radiata. RNAcentral's name for it is "long non-coding RNA (VRAD_LNC010066)". The record is from RNAcentral. Lineage: Eukaryota; Viridiplantae; Streptophyta; Magnoliopsida; Fabales; Fabaceae.
GAGGAAUUUUUGUUGGUUCUUCAAUCCAAAGUUUGACAUUGAGUAAAAUAAAGACACUACCAGAACAAAGUUAUUAUAAAAAUGAAAAAUUGAUUUGAGAGAGAUUACCCCAACUCAAUACAUCUUUUACGGGUGUGGUAGACUUGGGUAGUUGUGUUUUAAUCAAAGGUUUACAACUUUUUUUCAAAAAAUUAUACGAGGUGAGUUUCCCUUUUUUCUACAAGAAAUUACAGGAGAAGAGUUUGUAGUUUUCUCCAUAGUAAUAGUAGGUUGACACGCCUACGUGUUACCUACACUCAUUUGACACGGUCCAGGUAAGUUUUUUGAAAAAAAAAAUUGUUCAGUAGACGUGGGUAAAAGGGGAAAAAGAAAAAUAUGGCUUUCGGUCUUCUUUUGCUCCUCUUUCAAAAAUCACAUUUAGGUUUUCUUUCUUUCAAGACGCAUUGUUCUUCAUCAUUCUUCGUCGGUGCUCUUCUUCAUCGUCUUUCAUUGGCACCCUUGAGCUGCUUCAAUCGGUGGUGUGUUUGAGUUAGGCUUCUAAUCGCUGCAUUCUCUGUUUUUACAAGCUGAUUUUCUUUGGAAGGUAAUAACAGAGAAAUAAUUUUAUUUAAUCUUUGGUCUUUGAGUGAGAAACUGCAUUACCUUGAGUCCUUGGUACCUUCCAAGCAUGAGAAUGGUGGCCAAUGGGUUUGUGCCAGGUGACAAAGUAAGAUGUAAAAAUGUAUAGUGGUUGAACUUGAGAUGACAAAGUCUCUUCUCUCAAGUCAUUAGACACACCUACAAAAACAAUCAUUUCUUAGAAUAUAAAAGUCAGGUAUUUUGAUUGUUCAAAAUCAUUAUUCUAUACACUGAUGUCUAUCUUUGGUCCAUAGAAUGCUUCAUCCCCUUCAUUCAACUACAAGGUUUUACACAAAUAUAAGCACAAAGAUAGUAAAGCUUACAAAUGUCAUAUUCCACAGAAAAUAAUAAAACAUUAUGAAAAUAAAAAAUGGAGUGUGUAGGUGUGAGUGAAAAACCUUCACCCAUAUCAACAUAAAGAUGAAGAGAACAAAUGGGUGUUGUCAUAAACAAAAUGAAACUGCCAACAUAAGCAAAUUAGAUGAUAUAAUGCAAAAAGGAAUCAAGGGCGGACUGGAGGAAUGAGCCUGUAGUAGAGCAUUUCGUGUUUUCAAAACUAAAUCAAAAACAAAACUCUCUGUCUCACGCCCUUGCCCCUUUACUCUAGGGUUUUCGAAAAUGAACAAAAAAGAAAACGAAAGAUAGAGAAAUGAUGAGAAAAGAAGAAAUGAAUUGAAAGGGGACAAAC